GACGUAGGGCGCAAGCGUUGUCCGGAUUUAUUGGGCGUAAAGAGCUCGUAGGCGGCCUGUCGCGUCGACCGUGAAAACCCGCAGCUCAACUGCGGGCUUGCGGUCGAUACGGGCAGGCUGGAGUUCGGUAGGGGAGACUGGAAUUCCUGGUGUAGCGGUGAAAUGCGCAGAUAUCAGGAAGAACACCUAUGGCGAAGGCAGCUCUCUGGGACGGUACUGACGCUGAGACGCGAAAGCGUGGGGAGCGAACAGG
This 253-nucleotide ribosomal RNA is filed under the name uncultured bacterium. RNAcentral describes it as "partial 16S ribosomal RNA". It matches the Rfam family "Bacterial small subunit ribosomal RNA", at positions 524 to 776 of the family's 1533-position model. The record is from RNAcentral.